UAUNGGUCAAUGGGCGAAACCCUGAACCAGCNACGCCGCGUGAGGGAAGACGGCUUUCGGAUUGUAAACCUCUGUCCUCUGUGAAGAUGAUGACGGUAGCAGAGGAGGAAUCUCCGGCUAACUACGUGCCAGAAGCCGCGGUAAUACGUAGGGAGCGAGCGUUGUACGGAUUUACUGGGUGUAAAGGGUGCGUAGGCGGCUGUGCAAGUGAGUAGUGAAAUCCAUGGGCUUAACCCAUGAACUGCUAUUGAAACUGCACAGCUUGAGUGAAGUAGAGGUAGGCGGAAUUCCCGGUGUAGCGGUGAAAUGCGUAGAGAUCGGGAGGAACACCAGUGGCGAAGGCGGCCUACUGGACUUUAACUGACGCUGAGGCACGAAAGCGUGGGUAGCAAACAGG
RNAcentral lists this ribosomal RNA (397 nucleotides) under uncultured bacterium. Its description in RNAcentral is "bacterial SSU rRNA". It matches the Rfam family "Bacterial small subunit ribosomal RNA", at positions 362 to 776 of the family's 1533-position model. The record is from RNAcentral.